CAUCAGUCAGCACAGCAAGGACAAGGUGUUGAUUUUGGCUCUGACAAUCUUGAUUCACCUGGUGUGUCAAACCAAGUGCUGAACAUGACUGCGAACAGCUCACCUGCUGUGGCAAACUAGGCUGAGAGACUAGAUGACUAUGGGAAUCUGUAUGUUCUUCGAACUGCUCACCAGUUGCUUCUGCUUAACGACCAAACUCAAAAGUCAUUGGAUGCACAUCAGCUUGCCAUUUAUUUAGAACUUGGCUACACUGCCACAUUCAUUGCGGAAUUGACUGGUGUUCACUUAAAGAAAGUAAGGAGAAUGAUGGAAUAAUAAUUUAAUUCAUAUUUUUUGUUUUCACAGGAUGAACCUGGUAGAGACGGAGGAGAUCCUGAUGAUUGGGACCAAACUGUUCAUACUAUUCCCGCUGUGGAUGUCGCUGCUUUUCGUUGUCCAUUGAAUGCUGAGCAGUUAUUCGAGAUGGAGAGGCGCAUCAGAAAAGAACAGAUUGAUCUCGAAAAUUUACACAUACAUUAAAUACCAGGAUGUGAAAAAUUAUGUUUUGAACUCAUUGGUUAACUGAGCCCUUUUUAUUUGCCUUUCUAACACUUCUCACUCUGCCAACUCAUUCCAAUACGUGUCGAAAAUUGGCUGUUGAUGUGUAGAUAUUGCCACUUGCUGGUUCAUGUGAAAGUCAAUAAAAAGCGUAACGAUAGGUCUUAACGUUA
Molecule: long non-coding RNA, 710 nt
Organism: Daphnia pulicaria
Lineage: Eukaryota; Metazoa; Arthropoda; Branchiopoda; Diplostraca; Daphniidae
Exons: 3
Source: RefSeq, a predicted model, not a curated record